This 253-nucleotide ribosomal RNA is filed under the name uncultured bacterium. Its description in RNAcentral is "partial 16S ribosomal RNA". It matches the Rfam family "Bacterial small subunit ribosomal RNA", at positions 524 to 776 of the family's 1533-position model. The record is from RNAcentral.
UACGUAGGGUGCAAGCGUUGUCCGGAAUUAUUGGGCGUAAAGAGCUUGUAGGCGGUUUGUCGCGUCUGCUGUGAAAUUUCGGGGCUCAACCCCGAACUUGCAGUGGGUACGGGCAGACUAGAGUGUGGUAGGGGAGACUGGAAUUCCUGGUGUAGCGGUGAAAUGCGCAGAUAUCAGGAGGAACACCGAUGGCGAAGGCAGGUCUCUGGGCCGAUACUGACGCUGAGGAGCGAAAGCGUGGGGAGCGAACAGG